GCAUUGAAAGUUCGCUAGGCCGGACAGAUCGUCGUGUUUGAGUUACGGUCUCGUCACAAUGGUGAUAAGUCAAAAGUCCAGAGGAAAGCAACUUCGUUAGAAUAUUUUUGCUAAAUGCUAAUUUAGAAAAUUUUAUUUUGUGUCUUAUAUACUGAUACUAGUUUUAUGAGUCUUUUAUUUAUCUCAUAAAUUUGUGAAUCUAGGUUUAUGUGGAUCCAAAAAUGUAAAAUUGAGGUCCACAAAUUUGUGAGACAAAAAGAAGUCUUAUGCAAUUAAUAUUUAAAUUGUAUGAAACACAACAUAAAACUUCUUGUCCAAUUUGCAUACUGUUUUUGGUUGCUUGAACAUAUUAAAUAUCUUAUUCAGCAGAGACAUAUACUUU
This 382-nucleotide long non-coding RNA is filed under the name Nicotiana benthamiana. RNAcentral's name for it is "long non-coding RNA (NBEN_LNC002920)". Lineage: Eukaryota; Viridiplantae; Streptophyta; Magnoliopsida; Solanales; Solanaceae. The record is from RNAcentral.